Molecule: ribosomal RNA, 305 nt
Filed under: uncultured bacterium
Lineage: Bacteria
Description: bacterial SSU rRNA
Rfam family: Bacterial small subunit ribosomal RNA
Source: RNAcentral
AGCGAACGCUGGUGGCGUGCUUAACACAUGCAAGUCGAACGCGAAAGCCUCUUCGGAGGUUAGUAGAGUGGCGCACGGGUGAGUAAUAAAUAGGAACGUACCUAAAGGUGGGGGAUAACCUCGGGAAACCGUGGCUAAUACCGCGUAAUAUCGCAAGAUUAAAGAGGGCCUCUACUUGUAAGCUCUUGCCUUUAGAUCGGCCUAUUUCCCAUUAGCUUGUUGGUAGGGUAAAGGCCUACCAAGGCUACGAUGGGUAGCUGGUUUGAGAGAAUGAUCAGCCACACUGGAACUGAGACACGGUCCAG